GGACAGUAGUUCAGUGGCAGAGCAUGUGUCUUCCAUGCAGAAGGUUCUGGGUUCAAUUCCUGGCAUUUCCA
Molecule: transfer RNA, 71 nt
Filed under: Podarcis lilfordi (Lilford's wall lizard)
Lineage: Eukaryota; Metazoa; Chordata; Lepidosauria; Squamata; Lacertidae
Description: tRNA.Gly
Rfam family: tRNA
About the family: Transfer RNA (tRNA) molecules are approximately 80 nucleotides in length.
Source: RNAcentral